Molecule: ribosomal RNA, 397 nt
Filed under: uncultured bacterium
Lineage: Bacteria
Description: partial 16S ribosomal RNA
Rfam family: Bacterial small subunit ribosomal RNA
Source: RNAcentral
AUACGUAGGUGGCAAGCGUUGUCCGGAAUUAUUGGGCGUAAAGCGCGCGCAGGUGGUUCCUUAAGUCUGAUGUGAAAGCCCCCGGCUCAACCGGGGAGGGUCAUUGGAAACUGGGGAACUUGAGUGCAGAAGAGGAUAGUGGAAUUCCAAGUGUAGCGGUGAAAUGCGUAGAGAUUUGGAGGAACACCAGUGGCGAAGGCGACUGUCUGGUCUGUAACUGACACUGAGGCGCGAAAGCGUGGGGAGCAAACAGGAUUAGAUACCCUGGUAGUCCACGCCGUAAACGAUGAGUGCUAAGUGUUGGGGGGUUUCCGCCCCUCAGUGCUGCAGCUAACGCAUUAAGCACUCCGCCUGGGGAGUACGGUCGCAAGACUGAAACUCAAAGGAAUUGGCGGGG